CCAAUGUGAAAUAAGUAUGUUUAAGCAUGUGUUAUAAUGAAUGGUGCAAGAGGUUCACUAGACCCACUGGGAUCACCCCUCACACAACAGCAACUAACCGACCCCGGACUCCCUCACAACCCAUAACCGCAUAUACCACAUUUGGGGUAAAAGGGGAGGAGAAGUAAGGAUGCCAGGCAUCACCCCCUGGCGACAUAAGUACAAGACGCAGCCCAAUACACAAAACCCG
Pelobates cultripes (western spadefoot toad) is the source of this 229-nucleotide non-coding RNA. The record is from the annotation of a GenBank genome assembly. Lineage: Eukaryota; Metazoa; Chordata; Amphibia; Anura; Pelobatidae.